UACAGAGACUGCGAGCGUUAUUCGGAUUCACUGGGCGGAAAGGGUGCGCAGGCGGCCAAAUGUGUGAGGCGUGAAAGCCCGGGGCUUAACCCCGGAAUUGCACCUCAAACUAUUUGGCUAGAGCAUUGGAGAGGGAAGCGGAAUUCACGGUGUAGCAGUGAAAUGCGUAGAUAUCGUGAGGAACACCAGAGGCGAAGGCGGCUUCCUGGACAAUUGCUGACGCUCAGGCACGAAAGCGUGGGGAGCGAACAGG
RNAcentral lists this ribosomal RNA (253 nucleotides) under uncultured bacterium. Its description in RNAcentral is "partial 16S ribosomal RNA". It matches the Rfam family "Bacterial small subunit ribosomal RNA", at positions 524 to 776 of the family's 1533-position model. The record is from RNAcentral.